RNAcentral lists this non-coding RNA (18 nucleotides) under Arabidopsis thaliana (thale cress). Lineage: Eukaryota; Viridiplantae; Streptophyta; Magnoliopsida; Brassicales; Brassicaceae. The record is from RNAcentral.
UGAACCUUGGGAUGGGUC